AAAACAUGUCUAUAUGAUUGUUAUAUAAAGUCUAGCCUGCCCACUGAAUUGUUUUUUUAAGGGCCGCGGUAUACUGACCGUGCGAAGGUAGCAUAAUCAUUAGUCUUUUAAUUGAAGGCUCGUAUGAAUGGUUGGACAAAAAGUAAGCUGUCUCAAUUAUAAUAGUUGAACUUAACUUUUAAGUGAAAAGGCUUAAAUAACUUAAGGGGACGAUAAGACCCUAUAAAACUUGACAAUAACUUAAUUAAAUUAUAAAUUGUUAGUAUAACUUGAUUUUUAAUUAAGGUUUGUUGCGUUGGGGCGACGGGAAUAUAAUUAGUAACUGUUCUUAAAUAUAUUAAUAACAAAUAUAAUUGAAAAAUGAUUGAUCCUUUAUUAAAGACUAAAAGAUUAAGUUACUUUAGGGAUAACAGCGUAAUCUUCUUUGAGAGUCCUCAUCGACAAGAAGGUUUGCGACCUCGAUGUUGAAUUAAGGUAUCCUUAUAAUGCAGCAGUUAUAAAGGAAGGUCUGUUCGACCUUUAAAUCCUUACAUGAUCUGAUCU
This 543-nucleotide ribosomal RNA is filed under the name Penaeus cf. monodon AC86. RNAcentral's name for it is "partial large subunit ribosomal RNA". It matches the Rfam family "Bacterial large subunit ribosomal RNA", at positions 1810 to 2611 of the family's 2925-position model. Lineage: Eukaryota; Metazoa; Arthropoda; Malacostraca; Decapoda; Penaeidae. The record is from RNAcentral.